This 413-nucleotide ribosomal RNA is filed under the name uncultured microorganism. Its description in RNAcentral is "bacterial SSU rRNA". It matches the Rfam family "Archaeal small subunit ribosomal RNA", at positions 460 to 872 of the family's 1478-position model. The record is from RNAcentral.
AGCAGCCGCGGUAAUACCGGCGGCCCGAGUGGCGGUCACUAUUAUUGGGCUUAAAGCGUCCGUAGCCGGGUUGGUAAGUCCUCCGGGAAAUCUGGUCGCUUAACGAUCAGACUUCCGGAGGAUACUGCUGGCCUAGGGACCGGGAGAGGCCGAGGGUAUUCCCGGGGUAGGGGUGAAAUCCUGUAAUCCCGGGAGGACCACCUGUGGCGAAGGCGCUCGGCUGGAACGGGUCCGACGGUGAGGGACGAAGGCCAGGGGAGCGAACCGGAUUAGAUACCCGGGUAGUCCUGGCGGUAAACGAUGCGGACUAGGUGUCGGGCAAGCUAAGGGCUUGUCCGGUGCCGCAGGGAAGCCGUUAAGUCCGCCGCCUGGGGAGUACGGCCGCAAGGCUGAAACUUAAAGGAAUUGGCGGG